GAAAAUUAAAAAGAGAGAUCAUAUUUCUGUCAGAGCCUGAGUCUGUGUGUGUUGGUGAAUGUGCUGGUGUGUGUGUGUUUCGUGUACUUGUCUUCAUAACCAUUCAGUGUUUCACAGUUGGUGCUGGAGUUCUCAGGUACGCUGGAUGACAGGUGUUUCCUAUCUGCAGAUUGCAUGGAGGAGUACGUAAGUGGGAGGCUGCCAGCAUUUCGACGCCAGAGUGUUUGCCUUAGUGAUUUUUACCUGAGGCUUUGUUUACCUUGCUGAGUUCCGACUUCGUUCCAGAGUUUCUCUGAGCAUCUGGAUAAUCAAUUACUGAGUUUCGGAUAUACCUUCUUGUAGAUUUCUCACACUACCGUCUGUACCUUUUGGACACGGACCAAGCUGGUGGCUUCCCGUUUCCUUCAACUCCAGGACCAAGGCAUAAGCAUACCCUGUUCCAUCCUCCAUCACAAGCGUUGGCACCAAGACCACAACUAAAAGACAACUGAACAAUCUCUCUUCGCAAGUUAAGACUCUGGAUCUCUCUACCCCUGGUGGUUCAGGCUACAGCAAUCUAUUGGUGUUUCCAGUCCUCGUCCCUAAUUACUUUGCUGACAAUAAAACCCGUAAAAC
This is a long non-coding RNA of Girardinichthys multiradiatus, 615 nucleotides long. RefSeq lists it as uncharacterized. Lineage: Eukaryota; Metazoa; Chordata; Actinopteri; Cyprinodontiformes; Goodeidae. The record is from RefSeq and is a predicted model, not a curated record. The transcript is spliced from 3 exons.